GGCUGUGUAGCGCAAUGGUAGCGCGUUACUUUCCGGUUUUAACUUGUCCAAUAAGUUAAAUCACCAGCUGGUAAAGGCUCUGGGUUCGAGUCCCAGCAUGGUCG
Molecule: non-coding RNA, 104 nt
Organism: Triangularia verruculosa
Lineage: Eukaryota; Fungi; Ascomycota; Sordariomycetes; Sordariales; Podosporaceae
Source: the annotation of a GenBank genome assembly